This 1028-nucleotide long non-coding RNA is filed under the name Vigna radiata. Its description in RNAcentral is "long non-coding RNA (VRAD_LNC011643)". The record is from RNAcentral. Lineage: Eukaryota; Viridiplantae; Streptophyta; Magnoliopsida; Fabales; Fabaceae.
GUUUUGAUUAGGAAGGUUUUUUUUUUAAUUUUUUUAUUUCUCUUUAUUAACACUUGCACCGAGAAUAUUUUAUACAUUGAAUGCAUCUAGCUUGGAGGUAGUUUAGUCACUUAUUUUAUUUUUACUGACAGACGUUUUAUUUUAUUUUUUUUAAAAGUAUUAUUUCGGUGAUGGAGAGCGUUCAACGCUAUUGAAAUCUGCAGGUUAUCAAAUUGCUUCAUAUGCUGCCAUGCUUAUUAAUUGGUAACCGUGGGAUGGUUCUUUUCUCCAACAACUUGCUCUGUUCAUUUGCCUUAGCCUAGAAUGCAUGCUUAAUUAAUUUUCCCUUGUUUUUUUUAGUGACUCAUUUCUUUUGUUUUUUUUUUAUUUAAUUUUAAUCUUUACUUUAAUGUUGUUUAUCUAGUUGAGUUGUGUUAAUUUAAUUGUCAUGUUAGUUUAAAUUAGUUGGGUUCGUCAUUAAUAAAAUUACUUUGUCUCUGAGAUUCUUGCACUUUAAUUGCCAGACUACUGCUCUGAUUUAGCUCAAUAUUUAAUCUGUUGUGUGUCUGCGAUUGGGUAUACGCUUAGUUGCCUAAUUGGUUUUUAAUCUUCGCUUAGUUGAUUAGACUGUAUGGUGCAUGACUGAUUAAAUUUGUGUAUUGCAUUCGCUUAGUCUGCAAUUCUGAAGACCAAAUUACCCUUCGCUUAGUUGGGUGAUUCGUGUUGGAUUUGGAUUAGAGUAGUGUGUACUUGUCGUUAAUAUGUGAUUGGAAGCAUAGUGAUUGAGUUAAUGACCAACCAUUUUUAUUCUGUAGUUGAUUUCGUUUUUACAUUUCUGUUUCCGCGUAUGUUUACAUCUGUGUUUCAAUUUAAUUCAUCUGCAUUCAUACACCUUUCAACAACCCCCCUACUUCAUGUCUGACCUGAUUCUAAACCACAUUUGGUCCUUGAGAGACGACCUAGGAGUCACUUCCUAGUACUAUACUGCAUUUCUAAAUUGCAAUCAAAUUUGUAUGGGCUGCGACAACCCAUCCUUGAUCCAACACCUA